Molecule: ribosomal RNA, 555 nt
Filed under: Thielaviopsis sp. C_BESC_184k
Lineage: Eukaryota; Fungi; Ascomycota; Sordariomycetes; Microascales; Ceratocystidaceae
Description: eukaryotic LSU rRNA
Rfam family: Eukaryotic large subunit ribosomal RNA
Source: RNAcentral
ACNUCGGAUCAGNNNNGAAUACCCGCUGAACUUAAGCAUAUCANUAAGCGGAGGAAAAGAAACCAACAGGGAUUGCCCUAGUAACGGCGAGCGAAGCGGCAACAGCUCAAAUUUGAAAUCUGGNUACUUUGUAGUCCGAGUUGUAAUUUGUAGAGGAUGCUUUUGGUGAGGUGCCUUCCGAGUUCCNUGGAACGGGACGCCAGAGAGGGUGAGAGCCCCGUACGGUUGGAUACCAAACCUUUGUAUAGCUCCUUCAACGAGUCGAGUAGUUUGGGAAUGCUGCUCUAAAUGGGAGGUAUAUCUCUUCUAAAGCUAAAUAUAGGCUAGAGACCGAUAGCGCACAAGUAGAGUGAUCGAAAGAUGAAAAGCACUUUGAAAAGAGAGUUAAACAGCACGUGAAAUUGUUGAAAGGGAAGCGCCUAUGACCAGACUUGUUUCUUUCAGUUUUGUUAGUUCUCGGACUGAUUUACUCUGUUAGUACAGGCCAGCAUCAGUUUGUUGUCGGGGAGAAAGGCUUAGGGAAUGUGGCUCCUCCGGGAGUGUUAUAGCCCUUUG